Long non-coding RNA from Dermacentor silvarum, 526 nucleotides. RefSeq lists it as uncharacterized. The transcript is spliced from 4 exons. NCBI's taxonomy places the organism in Eukaryota, Metazoa, Arthropoda, Arachnida, Ixodida, Ixodidae. The record is from RefSeq and is a predicted model, not a curated record.
AUUCUGGGGUAUCCUGAUCACACUCGGUGUGUUCCCCUUCUCAACAGUUUAACGACCAGGAAUUCACACUGUGGGACUGCGUCGAAGUUCAAGGAGAGACGACCCUCUCUCAGUUUCUUGAACAUGUCGAGAACGAGCACAAAGUCAAAAUCGUCGCAGUAACCGAAGGGGAGCGAGUAUUGUACGCCAGCUUUCUGCCGUCCUCCAAAAAUCUUCUCGAACUAUCUAUGAGUGAAGUGGUUGAGGAGGUGACCAAGCGAAAGAUCGACCCGGACAAGCGGGCCCUGGUCUUUGAUCUUAUCUGCGAGGACACGAAUGGUCGGGGCAUAGAGUUUCCACGAGUACGCUACAUACUGCCAAGAUGAGCGCGCCCCCACCGUCUGUGCAGAAAGAACCAGAAUACGGCAGGCCGGGCUGCUUCCAUCCCAUCACUCGAUCCACAGCUGGUAUCACACUGCCUGCAUGGCAGCCAGCGCCAGCGACAUGCCCCUGCGAUAUCACGCUGGCGCCCAGCAAUUGCCGUCUC